AGCGUAUAUUAAAGUUGUUGCAGUUAAAAAGCUCGUAGUUGAAUUUCGGGGUCAGUAGGUCGGUCGUGCCACUGGUAUGAACUGGUUUUACUGAUUCCUCCCUCUUGAAGAACUGUAAUGCCAUUAAUUUGGUGUUGCAGGGAAUCAGGACUGUUACUUUGAAAAAAUUAGAGUGUUUAAAGCAGGCUUUAGCUUGAAUACAUUAGCAUGGAAUAAUGAAAUAGGACGUUUGAUCCUAUUUUGUUGGUUUCUAGGAUUGACGUAAUGAUUAAUAGGGAUAGUUGGGGGCAUUAGUAUUCAAUUGUCAGAGGUGAAAUUCUUGGAUUUAUUGAAGACUAACUACUGCGAAAGCAUUUGCCAAGGAUGUUUUCAUUAAUCAAGAACGAAAGUUAGGGGAUCGAAGACAAUCAGAUACCGUCGUAGUCUUAACCAUAAACUAUGCCGACUAGGGAUCGGAUGAUGCUAAUUUUUUAAUGACUCAUUC
This 484-nucleotide ribosomal RNA is filed under the name uncultured Glomeromycotina. RNAcentral describes it as "SSU rRNA". It matches the Rfam family "Eukaryotic small subunit ribosomal RNA", at positions 596 to 1081 of the family's 1831-position model. Lineage: Eukaryota; Fungi; Glomeromycota. The record is from RNAcentral.